This 220-nucleotide unclassified non-coding RNA is filed under the name Hevea brasiliensis (rubber tree). The record is from RNAcentral. Lineage: Eukaryota; Viridiplantae; Streptophyta; Magnoliopsida; Malpighiales; Euphorbiaceae.
UAUAAAAGAAGUCAAUUGCGCAGGGAAUGUAUUCAUAUGGAUGAAAUUAUUGGCAGUAUGGCGGAUGUUCACUAGUAAAUGGCCAUAAACCUAAAGAAAGUGAGCUAGAAGAAAGUUUGUUUUUGGGUUCAAUAGUUCAUUGGAGCUUUGCUAAAAGUUCCUGCCUUCGUAAUGGCUCUGGAAAAAUCCAAUACAAAGUGGCGUGGGGCUAACUUCACAG